UACGUAGGGUGCGAGCGUUAAUCGGAAUUACUGGGCGUAAAGCGUGCGCAGGCGGUCUGUUAAGACCGAUGUGAAAUCCCCGGGCUUAACCUGGGAACUGCAUUUGUGACUGCAUGGCUGGAGUGCGGCAGAGGGGGAUGGAAUUCCGCGUGUAGCAGUGAAAUGCGUAGAUAUGCGGAGGAACACCGAUGGCGAAGGCAAUCCCCUGGGCCUGCACUGACGCUCAUGCACGAAAGGCGUGGGGAGCAAACAGG
This 254-nucleotide ribosomal RNA is filed under the name uncultured bacterium. RNAcentral's name for it is "partial 16S ribosomal RNA". It matches the Rfam family "Bacterial small subunit ribosomal RNA", at positions 524 to 776 of the family's 1533-position model. The record is from RNAcentral.